RNAcentral lists this ribosomal RNA (253 nucleotides) under uncultured bacterium. Its description in RNAcentral is "partial 16S ribosomal RNA". It matches the Rfam family "Bacterial small subunit ribosomal RNA", at positions 524 to 776 of the family's 1533-position model. The record is from RNAcentral.
UACGUAGGGGGCAAGCGUUACUCGGAAUUACUGGGAGUAAAGGGUGAGUAGGCGGCUGAGCAAGUCAAGGAUGAAAGCCCGAGGCUCAACUUCGGAAUUGUCCUUGAAACUGCUCAGCUUGAGGGUAGUUGAGGAGAGUGGAAUUCCCGGUGGAGCGGUGAAAUGCGUAGAUAUCGGGAGGAACACCUGAGGCGAAGGCGGCUCUCUAAGCUAUUCCUGACGCUGAAUCACGAAAGCUCGGGGAUCAAACGGG